GACGAACGCUGGCGGCGUGCUUAACACAUGCAAGUCGAACGGAAAGGCCCUGCUUUUGUGGGGUGCUCGAGUGGCGAACGGGUGAGUAACACGUGAGUAACCUGCCCUUGACUUUGGGAUAACUUCAGGAAACUGGGGCUAAUACCGGAUAGGAGCUCCUGCUGCAUGGUGGUGGUUGGAAAGUUUCGGCGGUUGGGGAUGGACUCGCGGCUUAUCAGCUUGUUGGUGGGGUAGUGGCUUACCAAGGCUUUGACGGGUAGCCGGCCUGAGAGGGUGACCGGCCACAUUGGGACUGAGAUACGGCCCAGACUCCUACGGGAGGCAGCAGUGGGGAAUAUUGCACAAUGGGCGGAAGCCUGAUGCAGCAACGCCGCGUGCGGGAUGACGGCCUUCGGGUUGUAAACCGCUUUCGCCUGUGAUGAAGCGUGAGUGACGGUAAUGGGUAAAGAAGCACCGGCUAACUACGUG
This 468-nucleotide ribosomal RNA is filed under the name uncultured bacterium. RNAcentral describes it as "partial 16S ribosomal RNA". It matches the Rfam family "Bacterial small subunit ribosomal RNA", at positions 28 to 507 of the family's 1533-position model. The record is from RNAcentral.